UUCGUUUUGAUCAACAUUGGUAUAUAGAAAGAUAGAUUUUUUAAUCGAAAUUUUAAAUUUUGAUAAAGAGAGCAUUUAUUCAAUAAAAUAUUUAAAACAUUGAGAAUCAGUUAUAGACAAUUAUAGCAUGUGAUAUGUGUAUUAAUAUGAAAAAAAAUGAAAUGCAAAGAAGAAAUUCAGCGUCUUUUUUUUUUCUCUUGCUUUCGUGGUCUAUGAGGUCUCCUUGGGGUUACUUGAGGACUAUUUUCUGAACACUCUACGUCGCUUGGAUCAUCCUGUUAUUAAUUCAUAACUUGAGAAUAUCUAUAAGUCAAUUAAAUUAAUCAUAAGACAUAUAUGCAAUACCUUUAAAGCAGCUAUACCAUCGGAAGGGCCCCUUUGAAAAACCACUAGUAUUGCCAAUAGACAUAUAAUUUGGUAUAAUGCACUAAUAUAUAAUCCAAACCUUAAAAAUUGUUCAAAUAAAGUCUCUUCUGCUGGGAA
This is a long non-coding RNA of Bombus pyrosoma, 483 nucleotides long. RefSeq lists it as uncharacterized. The record is from RefSeq and is a predicted model, not a curated record. Lineage: Eukaryota; Metazoa; Arthropoda; Insecta; Hymenoptera; Apidae. The transcript has 2 exons.